Molecule: ribosomal RNA, 495 nt
Filed under: uncultured bacterium
Lineage: Bacteria
Description: partial 16S ribosomal RNA
Rfam family: Bacterial small subunit ribosomal RNA
Source: RNAcentral
GACGAACGCUGGCGGCGUGCCUAAUACAUGCAAGUCGAACGCUGAAGGAGGAGCUUGCUUCUCUGGAUGAGUUGCGAACGGGUGAGUAACGCGUAGGUAACCUGCCUGGUAGCGGGGGAUAACUAUUGGAAACGAUAGCUAAUACCGCAUAAUAGUAGAUGUCGCAUGACAUUUGCUUAAAAGGUGCAAUUGCAUCACUACCAGAUGGACCUGCGUUGUAUUAGCUAGUUGGCGAGGUAACGGCUCACCAAGGCAACGAUACAUAGCCGACCUGAGAGGGAGAUCGGCCACACCGGGACUGAGACACGGCCCAGACUCCUACGGGAGGCAGCAGUAGGGAAUCUUCGGCAAUGGACGGAAGUCUGACCGAGCAACGCCGCGUGAGUGAAGAAGGUUUUCGGAUCGUAAAGCUCUGUUGUAAGAGAAGAACGAGUGUGAGAGUGGAAAGUUCACACUGUGACGGUAUCUUACCAGAAAGGGACGGCUAACUACGUG